CGAAUCAUCUGGAAAGAUGAAUCAAAGAAGGUAAUAAUCCUGUAGUCGAAAAUGUUGUCUCUCUUGAGUGGAUCCUGAGUACGACGGAGCACGUGAAAUUCCGUCGGAAUCUGGGAGGACCAUCUCCUAAGGCUAAAUACUCUCUAGUGACCGAUAGUGAACCAGUACCGUGAGGGAAAGGUGAAAAGCACCCCGGAAGGAGAGUGAAAUAGAACCUGAAACCGUGUGCUUACAAGUAGUCAGAGCCCGUUAAUGGGUGAUGGCGUGCCU
RNAcentral lists this ribosomal RNA (270 nucleotides) under Staphylococcus aureus. RNAcentral's name for it is "partial 23S ribosomal RNA". It matches the Rfam family "Bacterial large subunit ribosomal RNA", at positions 334 to 606 of the family's 2925-position model. Lineage: Bacteria; Bacillati; Bacillota; Bacilli; Caryophanales; Staphylococcaceae. The record is from RNAcentral.